RNAcentral lists this ribosomal RNA (450 nucleotides) under uncultured bacterium. RNAcentral describes it as "partial 16S ribosomal RNA". It matches the Rfam family "Bacterial small subunit ribosomal RNA", at positions 354 to 796 of the family's 1533-position model. The record is from RNAcentral.
GUGGGGAAUUUUGGACAAUGGGCGCAAGCCUGAUCCAGCAAUGCCGCGUGCAGGAAGAAGGCCUUCGGGUUGUAAACUGCUUUUGUACGGAACGAAACGGUCCGGGUUAAUACCCUGGGCUAAUGACGGUACCGUAAGAAUAAGCACCGGCUAACUACGUGCCAGCAGCCGCGGUAAUACGUAGGGUGCAAGCGUUAAUCGGAAUUACUGGGCGUAAAGCGUGCGCAGGCGGUUUUGUAAGACAGGCGUGAAAUCCCCGGGCUCAACCUGGGAAUUGCGCUUGUGACUGCAAGGCUGGAGUGCGGCAGAGGGGGAUGGAAUUCCGCGUGUAGCAGUGAAAUGCGUAGAUAUGCGGAGGAACACCGAUGGCGAAGGCAAUCCCCUGGGCCUGCACUGACGCUCAUGCACGAAAGCGUGGGGAGCAAACAGGAUUAGAAUCCCUUGUAGUCC